AAACUGCGAUAAGUAGUGUGAAUUGCAUUUAGUGAAUCAUCGAAUCUUUGAACGCACCUUGCACUCACUGGUAUUCCGGUGAGUACGCCUGUUUCAGUAUCAUUGAAAACACACAAUCAAAACAUUUUCUUUGGUUUGAUUGGCUUUGGGUCUAUCAAAAAGUUUGGCUUGUUUCUUACAAGCCAAGCGGCCUGAAAUAUAUUGUCUGGCUAAUUGCAUCGUUGAUGAUCGCUAUUAGACUUUGGCUUUUUUAUAUGAACUGGAGGUUGAUUAACCAGUUUUAGCUUUAGUCAAAUGGUCAUUGUAAAAAAAAUCUCGAUCUUGGCUAGGUGUUUAUAGCCGAAAAUUUUUUUUUGGCUAUAACCGAAACCAAUAUAAUCACAUUUAGUUAUCGAUCUGAAAUCAGGUGGGACUACCCGCUGAACUUAAGC
This 431-nucleotide unclassified non-coding RNA is filed under the name plant metagenome. Its description in RNAcentral is "partial contains 5.8S ribosomal RNA, internal transcribed spacer 2, and large subunit ribosomal RNA". The stretch from base 1 to 102 matches the Rfam family "5.8S ribosomal RNA", at positions 50 to 154 of the family's 154-position model. The record is from RNAcentral.